UCGAGAAUUUUUCACAAUGGGCGCAAGCCUGAUGGAGCGACGCCGCGUGGGGGAUGAAUGGCUUCGGCCCGUAAACCCCUGUCAUUUGCGAUCAAACCUUGCUAUUUAAAAGAUGGCGAGCUGAUAGUAGCGAAAGAGGAAGGGACGGCUAACUCUGUGCCAGCAGCCGCGGUAAUACAGAGGUCCCAAGCGUUGUUCGGAUUCACUGGGCGUAAAGGGUGCGUAGGUGGUGGGGUAAGUCGGAUGUGAAAUCUCGGAGCUCAACUCCGAAAUGGCAUUGGAAACUACCCUGCUAGAGGGUCGGAGGGGGGACUGGAAUUCUCGGUGGAGCAGUGAAAUGCGUAGAUAUCGAGAGGAACACCAGUGGCGAAGGCGAGUCCCUGGACGACUCCUGACACUGAGGCACGAAAGCUAGGGGAGCAAACA
This 426-nucleotide ribosomal RNA is filed under the name uncultured bacterium. RNAcentral's name for it is "bacterial SSU rRNA". It matches the Rfam family "Bacterial small subunit ribosomal RNA", at positions 355 to 774 of the family's 1533-position model. The record is from RNAcentral.